Molecule: ribosomal RNA, 464 nt
Filed under: uncultured bacterium
Lineage: Bacteria
Description: bacterial SSU rRNA
Rfam family: Bacterial small subunit ribosomal RNA
Source: RNAcentral
CCAGACUCCUACGGGAGGCAGCAGUGAGGAAUAUUGGUCAAUGGUCGGGAGACUGAACCAGCCAAGCCGCGUGAGGGGUGAAGGUACAGAGUAUCGUAAACCUCUUUUGUCAGGGAACAAAGGCGGGGACGCGUCCCCGGAUGAGUGUACCUGAAGAAAAAGCAUCGGCUAACUCCGUGCCAGCAGCCGCGGUAAUACGUAGGUGACAAGCGUUGUCCGGAUUUACUGGGUGUAAAGGGCGCGUAGGCGGAUGUGCAAGUCAGUCGUGAAAUACCGGGGCUCAACCCCGGGGCUGCGAUUGAAACUGCACACCUUGAGUAUCGGAGAGGAAAGCGGAAUUCCUAGUGUAGCGGUGAAAUGCGUAGAUAUUAGGAGGAACACCAGUGGCGAAGGCGGCUUUCUGGACGACAACUGACGCUGAGGCGCGAAAGUGUGGGGAGCAAACAGGAUUAGAUACCCGGGUA